AUUUGUUUCCUUGUGCGUGCGCACUACACCUCCCGUGCUCCUUCUAAUAUAAAGUAAAAUGCUAGGGUGCCGUGACUCACAUUUGCGAAUAAACCUGAGGACCAUAAUUCAAGUCGCGCGUAUCGUCGAAAGAAUCAUCUGCAAAAAAAUGGGUGGAACACGAGGACUUCCAAAGAAAAUGGGUGAAAUAUAAAGACUUCGCAUGAGG
This 208-nucleotide long non-coding RNA is filed under the name Carica papaya (papaya). RNAcentral describes it as "long non-coding RNA (CPAP_LNC015452)". Lineage: Eukaryota; Viridiplantae; Streptophyta; Magnoliopsida; Brassicales; Caricaceae. The record is from RNAcentral.